This 779-nucleotide ribosomal RNA is filed under the name uncultured Neocallimastigales. Its description in RNAcentral is "partial large subunit ribosomal RNA". It matches the Rfam family "Eukaryotic large subunit ribosomal RNA", at positions 26 to 644 of the family's 3401-position model. Lineage: Eukaryota; Fungi; Neocallimastigomycota; Neocallimastigomycetes; Neocallimastigales. The record is from RNAcentral.
CGCAUCUGUGCAUGCAGCAUAUCAAUAAGCGGAGGAAAAGAAAAUAACAAUGAUUUCCCUAGUAACGGCGAGUGAACAGGAAAGAGCUCAAAGUUGGAACCUGCUUGACUUAGUUAAGCCGGAUUGUAAACUGUAGAAACGUUUUCUAGGCAAGCCGAGUUAAAAAGUCCUUUGGAACAGGGCAUCAUAGAGGGUGAGAAUCCCGUCUUUGGCUCGAGUAUUUUGUCUUUUUAUGAUACGUUUUCCAAGAGUCAGGCUGUUUGGGAAUGCAGCCUAAAUUGGGUGGUAAAUCUCACCUAAAGCUAAAUAUUGGCGAGAGACCGAUAGCGAACAAGUACCGUGAGGGAAAGAUGAAAAGAACUUUGAAAAGAGAGUUAAACAGUACGUGAAAUUGUCAAAAGGGAAGCGUUUGACACCAGUGUUGUUUUUCUGAAAAUCAAUUAAAGAACUGUUUAUGCUAAGUUGUUUAGACUUUAUCAGCUAACUGUUUAGUUUUGAGCUUUUCUUUAAUGCACUUUUCAGUUAACAAGUCAACAUCAAUUUCUUUUGCUGUAAAAAAGCUUGAGGAAGGUGGCUUGAGAUUCGUCUUAAGUGUUUAUAGCCUCUUGCCUAUGCAGUCGGAGAGAUUGAGGUCUGCAGCAGUAGAUCCUUCGGGGCUAAAUGCAUUUGUGCUAAGUUAUAGCAUUUUAUAGACAACUUGUUGACUAUGAUUUGUCUUGUAGCUUACUCGCUUAUGUUAUUUUACCUACGCUUAGGAUGUUGACUGAUAUGUAGUCGUA